Molecule: ribosomal RNA, 484 nt
Filed under: uncultured bacterium
Lineage: Bacteria
Description: partial 16S ribosomal RNA
Rfam family: Bacterial small subunit ribosomal RNA
Source: RNAcentral
GAUGAACGCUGGCGGCGUGCUUAACACAUGCAAGUCGAACGAGAGAAGAUCGGUGCUUGCACUGAUCCGAUCGAGUGGCGGACGGGUGAGUAACGCGUGGGUAACCUGCCUCAUACAGGGGAAUAACAGUUGGAAACGGCUGCUAAAACCGCAUAAGCGCACAGUAUCGCAUGAUACAGUGUGAAAAACUCCGGUGGUAUGAGAUGGACCCGCGUCUGAUUAGCUAGUUGGUGAGGUAACGGCCCACCAAGGCAACGAUCAGUAGCCGGCCUGAGAGGGUGAACGGCCACAUUGGGACUGAGACACGGCCCAAACUCCUACGGGAGGCAGCAGUGGGGAAUAUUGCACAAUGGGGGAAACCCUGAUGCAGCGACGCCGCGUGAGUGAUGAAGUAUUUCGGUAUGUAAAGCUCUAUCAGCAGGGAAGAUAAUGACGGUACCUGACUAAGAAGCACCGGCUAAAUACGUGCCAGCCGCCGCCGUAA